UACAGAGGUCCCGAGCGUUAGGCGGAAUCACUGGGCUUAAAGCGUGUGUAGGCGGGUCCCCAAGUGCCUUUUGAAAUCCCACCGCUCAACGGUGGAACUGCUGGGCAUACUGCGGGUCUUGAGCCAGCUAGGGGCGACCGGAACCGACGGUGGAGCGGUGAAAUGCGUAGAUAUCAGGAAGAACACCCGUGGCGAAGGCGGCUCUCUGGGACGGUACUGACGCUGAGACGCGAAAGCGUGGGGAGCGAACAGG
RNAcentral lists this ribosomal RNA (253 nucleotides) under uncultured bacterium. RNAcentral describes it as "partial 16S ribosomal RNA". It matches the Rfam family "Bacterial small subunit ribosomal RNA", at positions 524 to 776 of the family's 1533-position model. The record is from RNAcentral.